Molecule: long non-coding RNA, 1751 nt
Organism: Gadus macrocephalus (Pacific cod)
Lineage: Eukaryota; Metazoa; Chordata; Actinopteri; Gadiformes; Gadidae
Exons: 2
Source: RefSeq, a predicted model, not a curated record
UUUGAAUUUGAAUGGUAACAAUUCCGUUAAAUCCUCGUCCUCGUUUUGAACGUCUCACUCAUGGACGAUCAGUGUGUUCUUUCUGAUUAGCUCUUAAUUGAGAUCACCUGUCACGCACCCCUUUAUUAAAGGAGAAUACAAUGGGUUUGGUUUACUUUUCGCAUCGGCCUGUGUCAAUCGAGGUUGAGUUUAGUGAGGAUUGAAAGUUUUCGAUCUAGAUUGCAGAUCACUAUUGUCACUUUAUACAAACUGAAAGUAUGCGUUGUUGCGUGUUUGUUUUUGUGGGCAUUUGACUGAACAGCCCAGACAAAUAUUGCUACCAACAUGGCACUUCGAAACAGACCACCGCAGUGUUAGAUGACUGACAAGAUCUAUGGGGGGGCCCCCUUUGGGCCCCCCCAUACCAACUUAGUCUUCAAAAGAAUCUAGUGCCAUGGGACUCCAGUGUCUUCAAAACAUCCUCGGAAUACAUGUGUAUGAAUGGUCCACCGAAGGGUUGAUCUGGAAGCCACCACGGUCCACGCAGUAAUCUGCUGCGUGGGCCGUAGUGGCUUCCAGAGCCAUCUUUCGGUCUUGGUCAGGAUUUGUUACAGUUGCCAAUGUGUUCAAUGUAGCAGGCUACGGGUUUCUGAAGAAGCCUGCUUUACGUAGCAUUGGAGUACAAAUAUUGUGCAAAAUGCUCAUGUAAUUGCACUAGCAACCUGUAGAUUAGCUUAGUUUAACGUCAUUCCGUGCUGUCUCUGUCAAAUGUGUGGCUUACUUUAAGUCCACAAGGCCCUCUGGUAAACCACGUUGGAACACCCCUGGACAAGGUGAUUAGUCACUGGGUGUGUGCUAAAGUUUUGUUCCAUUUUUCACUAGUUGGUUAAGGUUUGGUAGAAUUGUUUGGAUGCUAGCGACGUGAUGGCGCAUGUACAAGAGCCUACCGUGGCCAGGCCACAGUUGCGACGGCCACGGCCAGAUGGCCUAGUGUGAGUGCAACCUUGAUUGCAUUUGUAUACUGUUUACCAUUGGAUGUUUAUGCAAUUUGGCUUAAUUCAUCCGCAGUAAAGCUGCAUUUGACUAUUCCAGGGUCGUUUUGUACAGGCUUUCAAUUGACCAUGUUGACUAGUUUGUGGGAAUUUUUUUUUUCUUUUUUUUUUACCCUUGCUUACAAUCCAACGGUUGUGACCACUUAUGCAACUGGGCUGUGAACCUUGCAAUUCUAGUUGAUUAUUUGUACACGCAAGCUUGUCCAUUUCUAUCGCCAUCACUAACACUAGCUUCAGCAUUUCCUUGUAGGCCAUUAGCUGACUUGUGUAUUGGAGCGAUGAUUUAGGUAUUUUAAGAUGCCUGAAAACCUAAAAUAAAGCAAAAUGCGUGUCUGGUGUGCAAGAGCCAAUUUGUUGGCUUGCAGUAGUCGAGGAGUUGCCGUAGGUCGUAAGCCAUCUGGAGGUUGUGGCAAUGGAGGCUUGUGGUAGAUCUGCCAUCCAAGAAAGGUUAAUUCUUCUGAAGCAUGAUUAAUAGUUUAGUCAAUUGAAUCUAUUCAUAUAGAACUAUAAAAUCCAAGACUGCAGCCAGUAACUUGAAUCGCAAUAUGUGGAAAGUAUUAGUCUUCAUUUGCAACAACAGAAUAAUUAACAUGACUAACUGGGUUUCUUCCAUUUUCUAACUAGGGGGACUUGACUGGUGAGUCUACUGGAUUAAUCAGUAGCGGUACUUUGCCCAACAGAUUUGAUGGCAUGACUACAGGGUGACAAAGACAAUUAUUC